GAAAUGCGAUAAGUAAUGUGAAUUGCAGAACUCAGUGAAUCAUCGAAUCUUUGAACGCACAUUGCGCCCAUUAGUAUUCUAAUGGGCAUGCCUGUUCGAGCGUCAUUUCAACCCUCAAGCCUUAGUUGCUUGGUGUUGGGAGCUUAUCCUGCCGCAAGGCGGGACAACUCCUCAAAGUCAUUGGCGGAGUCGCGGCGACCCCAAGCGCAGUAAUUCUUUUUCUCGCUUUAGGUGUUAACGCUGGCUUCUAGCCGUUAAACCCCCCUAUUUUUUAAUGGUUGACCUCGGAUCAGGUAGGACUACCCGCUGAACUUAA
Molecule: unclassified non-coding RNA, 316 nt
Filed under: uncultured Xylariales
Lineage: Eukaryota; Fungi; Ascomycota; Sordariomycetes; Xylariales
Description: sequence contains ITS1
Rfam family: 5.8S ribosomal RNA (bases 1-105)
Source: RNAcentral